GUUCAUUAAGGCUUUCUGCAGUGAUUUUUCCCGUUGGAGUUGAAGACUUCUACGUGAGAAAUAUCUCCUUGACUUUGAAGCAGAAAUGUGGAGCUCGAUUCCAGACACCAGCAAGCAAAAUGCUGUCACAGCCGCAUCCAAAAUCGAUACAGCCCUUGCUGGAGCAGUCUCUGGUCUCUGUGUGUGAGUGGUUCUAAGGCCCAGAUCCAGAAAAAGUGUUUAUUUUGGUAGCGUGCACGAAGUUCCAGCUAUUCUAAAAAGCCGAGAUUUCGCAGCUAAGCUUUCCUGUUCCCAGCAGAGAAGGAGGAUGGAAGGUGUGCACUGUCCCACCUUGCAGAACAAGCUGCCCAGCCAACUCUCAAG
This is a long non-coding RNA of Gallus gallus (chicken), 363 nucleotides long. The record is from Ensembl. NCBI's taxonomy places the organism in Eukaryota, Metazoa, Chordata, Aves, Galliformes, Phasianidae.